AUUCAAGUAAAGUGGGAAGGAAGAACAAGGCGAAGAAGAAGACAAGGAAUGGUCAGGAUAUCAAUUUUACAUCAGAUAUUGAUAUUGAUGCUAUGCUUAAUGACAUGGUUUCAUCCUACAACCUUUCGGUGUUAGAUUCAAAUCGACAAGCUCAUGGUAGCAUUGAAGCAGUUUCAUGCGUACUCAUGGUAUUUGAUCUGCUAAGGAGGAGGAUUUCACAAGUUGAAGAGUCUAAGGAACCAAUGCCUGGAAAUAUAAGGCGUCCAGAUCUUAAAA
This 276-nucleotide unclassified non-coding RNA is filed under the name Hevea brasiliensis (rubber tree). The record is from RNAcentral. Lineage: Eukaryota; Viridiplantae; Streptophyta; Magnoliopsida; Malpighiales; Euphorbiaceae.